GAAAGCAAGAUUAAUACCCGAUGUUCUCACUGUUCCGCAUGUUACGGUGAGCAAAGAAUUUCGGUAUGCGAAGGCGAUGCGUUCCAUUAGUUAGUUGGCGGGGUAACGGCCCACCAAGCCUCCGAGGGUAGGGGUUGGAGAGGAAGGUCCCCCACACUGGAACUGAGACACGGUCCAGACUCCUACGGGAGGCAGCAGUGAGAAAUAUUGGUCAAUGGACGCAAGUCUGAACCAGCCAAGUAGCGUGCAGGAUGACGGCCCUCCGGGUUGUAAACUGCUUUUAGUUGGGAAUAAAAGGGGGCUCGUGAGCCCCGUAUUGUAUGUACCAUCAGAAAAAGGACCGGCUAAUUCCGUGCCAGCAGCCGCGGUAAUACGGAAGGUCCGGGCGUUAUCCGGAUUUAUUGGGUUUAAAGGGAGCGUAGGCCGGCUUUUAAGUCAGCUGUGAAAGUCCGCGGCUCAACCGUGGAAUUGCAGUUGAAACUGGAGGCCUUGAGUGCACACAGGGAUGCCGGAAUUCAUGGUGUAGCGGUGAAAUGCUUAGAUAUCAUGAAGAACUCCGAUCGCGAAGGCAAGUGUCCGGGGUGCAACUGACGCUGAGGCUCGAAAGUGCGGGUAUCAAACAGGAUUAGAUACCCUGGUAGUCCGCACCGUAAAC
This 655-nucleotide ribosomal RNA is filed under the name uncultured bacterium. Its description in RNAcentral is "bacterial SSU rRNA". It matches the Rfam family "Bacterial small subunit ribosomal RNA", at positions 153 to 807 of the family's 1533-position model. The record is from RNAcentral.